This 273-nucleotide ribosomal RNA is filed under the name uncultured Ascomycota. RNAcentral describes it as "partial 18S ribosomal RNA". It matches the Rfam family "Eukaryotic small subunit ribosomal RNA", at positions 548 to 827 of the family's 1831-position model. The record is from RNAcentral. Lineage: Eukaryota; Fungi; Ascomycota.
UUGGAGGGCAAGUCUGGUGCCAGCAGCCGCGGUAAUUCCAGCUCCAAUAGCGUAUAUUAAAGUUGUUGUGGUUAAAAAGCUCGUAGUUGAACCUUGGGCCUGGCUGGCCGGUCCGCCUCACCGCGUGUACUGGUCCGGCCGGGCCUUUCCCUCUGUGGAACCCGAUGCCCUUCACUGGGUGUCGUGGGGAAACAGGACUUUUACUGUGAAAAAAUUAGAGUGCUCCAGGCAGGCCUAUGCUCGAAUACAUUAGCAUGGAAUAAUAGAAUAGGA